AUGCCGUCGCCUCUGACGGAGAUCCCCGCCCACCUCCUGGCGGAGAUCUUCCUCCGGCUGCCCACCACGGAAGACCUCGCCCGCGCCUCUGCCGCCUGCGUCUCCUUCCACCGACUCGCCACCGACGGCUCCUUCCUCCGCAGCUUCCGCCGCCUCCACGCACCACCACUCCUUGGAUUCCUCGACUACGGCAGGUUCCGUCCCGCUCUGUCGCCGCACCCAUCCGCGCCCGCAGCCCGCGCGCUCGCCCUCGUUGCCGACUUCUACUUCUCCUUCAUCGACUCCUACUGCCACUGGACCGUGCAGGACUCCCGCGACGGCCGCGUCCUCCUCGACUGCGACCUCCGACAACAUGAGCAGCCCCCGGUUUUCAAAGAUCUCGCGGUGUGCGACCCCUUGCACCGCCGGUACGUCCUGCUCCCCCCGGUACCUCACGGCCUAGCCGCCUCGCUUGAGCACCCGUUCCCCAUGGUAAGCGACGCCCGGUGCAAGGCUUUCCUCGUUCCCCUCGGCAAGGAGGAGGUAGCGGCGGCAGAGACAACAUUCAGAGUCAUCUUGAUGGCAAAUUGCAAAACUAGUCUGGCUGCCUUCGUCUUCUCUUCGAGCACUGGGCAAUGGCAAGCCUCUGCAUCCAAGGUUAAUUUGGAGCGAUUUGGCCCUUGGCAAGCACGACAUGUCCGAGAUGUCAUGGGUCCACCCUUUUAUUCUCAGACGCCAUUAUGCUUACGGCUGCUUCUACUGGGACUGGGUGGAAUUCGGGGUCCAGAAGUUGCUCUUGCUUGA
Molecule: ribosomal RNA, 783 nt
Filed under: Triticum aestivum (bread wheat)
Lineage: Eukaryota; Viridiplantae; Streptophyta; Magnoliopsida; Poales; Poaceae
Description: partial small subunit ribosomal RNA
Source: RNAcentral